RNAcentral lists this ribosomal RNA (216 nucleotides) under uncultured bacterium. RNAcentral describes it as "partial 16S ribosomal RNA". It matches the Rfam family "Bacterial small subunit ribosomal RNA", at positions 524 to 734 of the family's 1533-position model. The record is from RNAcentral.
UACGUAGGGUGCGAGCGUUAAUCGGAAUUACUGGGCGUAAAGCGUGCGCAGGCGGCGCGUUAAGACAGGUGUGAAAGCCCCCGAGCUUAACUUGGGAAUUGCGCUUGUGACUGGCGUGCUGGAGUGUGGCAGAGGGGAGGUGGAAUUCCACGUGUAGCAGUGAAAUGCGUAGAGAUGAUGGAGGAACACCGAUGGCGAAGGGCAGCCCUCCUGGGC